UACGUAGGGUGCGAGCGUUAAUCGGAAUUAUUGGGCGUAAAGCGCACGUAGGCGGUUUGUUAAGUCGGAUGUGAAAUCCCUCGGCUCAACUGAGGAAGUGCAUCCGAAACUGGCAGGCUUGAGUACUAAAGAGGGUCGCGGAAUUCCCGGUGUAGAGGUGAAAUUCGUAGAUAUCGGGAGGAACACCGGUGGCGAAGGCGGCGACCUGGGUAGAUACUGACGCUGAGGUGCGAAAGCGUGGGGAGCAAACAGG
RNAcentral lists this ribosomal RNA (253 nucleotides) under uncultured bacterium. Its description in RNAcentral is "partial 16S ribosomal RNA". It matches the Rfam family "Bacterial small subunit ribosomal RNA", at positions 524 to 776 of the family's 1533-position model. The record is from RNAcentral.